RNAcentral lists this ribosomal RNA (390 nucleotides) under uncultured bacterium. Its description in RNAcentral is "bacterial SSU rRNA". It matches the Rfam family "Bacterial small subunit ribosomal RNA", at positions 28 to 419 of the family's 1533-position model. The record is from RNAcentral.
GACGAACGCUGGCGGCGUGCUUAACACAUGCAAGUCGAGCGGUAAGGCCCUUUCGGGGGUACACGAGCGGCGAACGGGUGAGUAACACGUGGGUGACCUGCCUCUAGCUCUGGGAUAAGCCCGGGAAACUGGGUCUAAUACUGGAUAUGACUCCAUGACGCAUGUUGUGGGGUGGAAAGCCUUGUGCGGCUAGAGAUGGGGCCCGCGGCCUAUCAGCUUGUUGGUGGGGGAUGGCCUACCAAGGCGACGACGGGUAGCCGGCCUGAGAGGGCGACCGGCCACACUGGGACUGAGACACGGCCCAGACUCCUACGGGAGGCAGCAGUGGGGAAUCUUGCGCAAUGGGCGAAAGCCUGACGCAGCGACGCCGCGUGAGGGAUGACGGCCUGG